This 253-nucleotide ribosomal RNA is filed under the name uncultured bacterium. RNAcentral's name for it is "partial 16S ribosomal RNA". It matches the Rfam family "Bacterial small subunit ribosomal RNA", at positions 524 to 776 of the family's 1533-position model. The record is from RNAcentral.
UACGUAGGCAGCGAGCGUUGUUCGGAAUUACUGGGCGUAAAGAGUGUGUAGGCGGUGCUCUAAGUUCGGUGUGAAAUCUCCUGGCUCAACUGGGAGGGUGCGCCGGAAACUGGAGUGCUUGAGCGUGCGAGAGGAAAGCGGAAUUCCUGGUGUAGCGGUGAAAUGCGUAGAUAUCAGGAGGAACACCUGUGGUGUAGACGGCUUUCUGGACCAUAGCUGACGCUGAGACACGAAAGCGUGGGUAGCAAACAGG